CUGCUGCUGUGAAGAGAACAACUCUCACACUGAAUGUUGAACAGCAGCUAGUUUCUCCUGUUCAUUUAAACCUUGUUGCAGAGAUGAAACAUCGGCUGUGGAUUAUUCUUGCUGCUCUGUUCUGUGAGUGUAAAGGAGCAGACAGAGUGAUCCAGCCAACAGGAGAUGUCAUUGCUGCUGAAGGAGACACAGUUACACUGGGCUGCACAUUUGAGACCAGUGACCCAGGUCCAACUUUGUUCUGGUACAAACAGGAUGGAAACAACAGCCCCAAAUUCAUACUGAACCGUCUUAAGUUUGGUGCGGGGAACACAGAGAAGGAAUAUGAGGACAGAUUUUCAUCCACACUGGAUUCCACCUCAAACUCAGUUCCUCUGAAGAUCCAGAAGCUUCAGCUGUCUGACUCUGCUGUGUACUACUGUGCUCUGCAGCCCACAGUGACAGGAAACACCAAAACUCUGUACAAAAACCUUUGGAGCAAAGACAACACAAUACUCCACAACAUCCACUAGAGGGAGUCACACACUGUUAAACUGCAGCUGGAUGUGAUGAUACAAUCUGGGAUUGUAUAGAAGGUGGGAAAAACUGCUGCUUUUACUACUGCUAUUGGUUGUGCUUUAACAUCAUGAGUGAGAUGGGAAGUCACCCAACACAUCCAUGUGUAUUUCAUGUAUGCGUCGUCAAAAAUGAAGAAAUUACUAC
Acanthopagrus latus (yellowfin seabream) is the source of this 702-nucleotide non-coding RNA. The record is from the annotation of a RefSeq genome assembly. Lineage: Eukaryota; Metazoa; Chordata; Actinopteri; Spariformes; Sparidae.